Molecule: ribosomal RNA, 243 nt
Filed under: uncultured bacterium
Lineage: Bacteria
Description: partial 16S ribosomal RNA
Rfam family: Bacterial small subunit ribosomal RNA
Source: RNAcentral
CUAGUUGGUGAGGUAACGGCUCUACCAAGGCAACGAUCAGUAGCCGGCUUGAGAGAGUGAACGGCCACAUUGGGACUGAGACACGGCCCAAACUCCUACGGGAGGCAGCAGUGGGGAAUAUUGCACAAUGGGGGAAACCCUGAUGCAGCGACGCCGCGUGAAGGAAGAAGUAUUUCGGUAUGUAAACUUCUAUCAGCAGGGAAGAAAAUGACGGUACCUGAGUAAGAAGCACCGGCUAAAUAC